UGGGGAAUAUUGGACAAUGGGCGGAAGCCUGAUCCAGCAACGCCGCGUGGGGGAUGACGGCCUUCGGGUUGUAAACCUCUUUCGCCUAGGACGAAGCGCAAGUGACGGUACUAGGUAAAGAAGCACCGGCCAACUACGUGCCAGCAGCCGCGGUAAUACGUAGGGUGCGAGCGUUGUCCGGAAUUAUUGGGCGUAAAGGGCUCGUAGGCGGUUUGUCGCGUCGGGAGUGAAAACCACAUGCUUAACAUGU
Molecule: ribosomal RNA, 250 nt
Filed under: uncultured bacterium
Lineage: Bacteria
Description: partial 16S ribosomal RNA
Rfam family: Bacterial small subunit ribosomal RNA
Source: RNAcentral